Molecule: ribosomal RNA, 252 nt
Filed under: uncultured bacterium
Lineage: Bacteria
Description: partial 16S ribosomal RNA
Rfam family: Bacterial small subunit ribosomal RNA
Source: RNAcentral
UACGUAGGGGGCAAGCGUUAUCCGGAAUUAUUGGGCGUAAAGAGUACGUAGGUGGCAACCUAAGCGCAGGGUUUAAGGCUAUGGCUCAACCAUUGUUCGCCCUGCGAACUGGGAUGCUUGAGUGCAGGAGAGGAAAGCGGAAUUCCUAGUGUAGCGGUGAAAUGCGUAGAUAUUAGGAGGAACACCAGUGGCGAAGGCGGCUUUCUGGACUGUAACUGACACUGAGGUACGAAAGCGUGGGGAGCAAACAGG